Zingiber officinale is the source of this 771-nucleotide long non-coding RNA. RefSeq lists it as uncharacterized. Lineage: Eukaryota; Viridiplantae; Streptophyta; Magnoliopsida; Zingiberales; Zingiberaceae. The transcript is spliced from 3 exons. The record is from RefSeq and is a predicted model, not a curated record.
CCGCGUGCUCGACGCCGCGGCCGACUCCUCCUUUGCCCUAACCGUCGCCGCGGGCGGUUUCUUCUUGCUUUUCUUUUAUUUCAUUCCCCUAAGCCCCGACGCCGUGCCUUAUUUCCUCUGCGCCGGAUCUUUCCUCUUCCUCGCGUGCCUAGCCGACAUUUUUCUUCCCUCUGUGCUGCCACCGAACUCAACAACCGACGCCGACUUCACUGCCGGCGCCGCCCGAUUACUGACUGCUCGUUUCUCCUCUCUUCUUCGGCCAUCUCCGCAUGGACGCACCUCGGCAGAGCACCCCCUUCACUGAUCUCUCUGUCAGUUUGAUCGCGCCGGCACCGUGUGUUCAUUUCGUUGUGCCCUAGAUUCCGAUGCGUGGUCGCCGCCGCACGGAGCAGCGCCGACCAUCGUUGGAGAUUUCUUGCUUCUGUGCCCUAGCCUUGGUCCAUUGCCGACGCCAGGUCCAACAGCCAUCUGCUGUGCCUUAGACUCCACUGACGGGUCUUCCUGCUUCGCCACCAGCUGCCGGUAGAGAGAAAAACAAGGGCUAUCGAGUUGGCAAGGUUUUCAGCCGUGUCAAUUGGAAAUUCUUCGACCUUGGAUUAAUAGUGAUACAUCCAGAUUUAGGACUGUGACACGAGACAAGUAUCUCGAUUGCAGAUUUGGACUUUCCUAUUGGAGGCGGGUACUUUUGACUUUAUGUCUUUGAUAUGCACAGUAGUGAAUUUAACAAGUAGCAAUAAUUAUGUUCUCUUAUUUGUUUCGGUUAAUCACUAC